ACUCCAUGAUGAGGGCACUUUCGUAAUAACUCUUUGUACCUUUCCCAUGCCUCAUAUAAGGACUCAUCAUCCAUUUGUCGAGUAGUGAUCUCGUUCCUUAACUU
Molecule: non-coding RNA, 104 nt
Organism: Gossypium hirsutum (cotton)
Lineage: Eukaryota; Viridiplantae; Streptophyta; Magnoliopsida; Malvales; Malvaceae
Source: Rfam